Molecule: long non-coding RNA, 896 nt
Filed under: Homo sapiens (human)
Lineage: Eukaryota; Metazoa; Chordata; Mammalia; Primates; Hominidae
Description: non-protein coding lnc-DEFB124-2:1
Source: RNAcentral
GCGAGGAGGGGUGGAGCCAUAACGGAAGGCGGAGAAAAAGUGCCAUACCAGUUUCUCGGCCUCCCAGGUGUCCACGACCACCAGUGUGGUGUCUUCUCCAUCCACCGUGAGGGUCCUCUCAUAUACAUCUUCUGCAACCGAGGGAAGAGCUGGAUCUCAGGGAGGACGGGCAAGCCUGAGAGAGUGUGGUGUUCCCUGCCCCCCAUUUCUGGUCAUAUCGCCCCCUCCACUUGUCCUCGGAAACGCUUAUCACACUUGUUUGAUGCCUGUCUCUCCUGAGGCUGGCCAAGCUGGUCUUCCCCACUCCAGGAUCUCCAAGUAGCACCACACGGUAGAGAGCCUCCCAGGAGCCUUCAGAGUCGCUGGAUUCAGAAGACCAAUCAUCUGGGGCAGGUGAAGGUUUCUGGGUGGGAGGGUUGAGGGAGGCUGAUUGGCCCAGCCGGGGAUGCUGGGAUUGAGUGGAAGGCACUGUGCUCAGGCGGCCAGGCUGGUGGCCCCGUGGGGACAGGGGCAGUGGGGUGCUGGCUCGCCGGUGCAGAGGGGUCUUUGCUUCCUGCUCGGUGUUGAGUGUCAUCUUUGGUAGGGGGGGGUUUGCUUCUUCCUUCUUUCCUUCUGAAAGAAGGGGGAAUUGGCUGUCAGCCAAUUGCUUUGAGCUGCUUCUUUCUAUAGUGUCCUGAUGAGCUGCUGUAUGGCUUCUUCCAGAUCCCCCUCUUGUUCAGAUGGGAGUAGGAGGUGCCUCAGCUUCUUGGGGCAGAAAGUCCCUAGGUUUUCUGGCCUCAGGCUCUGCAUAAACCUGGAUCCGGAUGGAAGGAGUGAGUGUGCAGGCUGUGAACACACAGACAUGCACACCCAGAGGCCAUUCCCUUGUCUUAAGGAUGAUCUACUCCUGAUGACAG